Molecule: long non-coding RNA, 312 nt
Organism: Magnolia sinica
Lineage: Eukaryota; Viridiplantae; Streptophyta; Magnoliopsida; Magnoliales; Magnoliaceae
Exons: 2
Source: RefSeq, a predicted model, not a curated record
ACCCGGACCCGUUGCCUUCCACAGCUCGUGUACUAUAUAAGGUAGAUUAAUUCCACCCUUUCUCUCUAUUCCUUGCGGCGAAAGGUCGAAGGCUCUCGCUCUCUAGGCAGUUGUCGAAUUUUUAAAGAUUUGCAUUAUUUGGAGUUGAGGUCGAAGUGUUGGAGAUUGAGAUUGAAAUUAGGGUUAUGGAUUUUAAUUUUCUAUUUUUGAGAAAUCAGGGUUUGGAUUUUGGGAAAAUUCGAAGUUGAAGUUAGGGUUAGGGCUUGCAUUGAUGGGUUGCUGAAUUUCUGUUCACAGUAGCCGGAAGUAGCU